GGGGCUGAUUCUGGAUUCGACGGGAUUUGCGAAACCCAAGGUGCAUGCCGAGGGGCGGUUGGCCUCGUAAAAAGCCGCAAAAAAUAGUCGCAAACGACGAAAACUACGCUUUAGCAGCUUAAUAACCUGCUUAGAGCCCUCUCUCCCUAGCCUCCGCUCUUAGGACGGGGAUCAAGAGAGGUCAAACCCAAAAGAGAUCGCGUGGAAGCCCUGCCUCGGGUUGAAGCGUUAAAACUUAAUCAGGCUAGUUUGUUAGUGGCGUGUCCGUCCGCAGCUGGCAAGCGAAUGUAAAGACUGACUAAGCAUGUAGUACCGAGGACGUAGGAAUUUCGGACGCGGGUUCAACUCCCGCCAGCUCCACUU
This 363-nucleotide transfer-messenger RNA is filed under the name Escherichia coli. It matches the Rfam family "transfer-messenger RNA". Rfam says of the family: Bacterial tmRNA, also known as 10Sa RNA or SsrA, is named for its dual tRNA and mRNA-like properties. Its role is to liberate the mRNA from a stalled ribosome. To accomplish this part of the tmRNA is used as a reading frame that ends in a translation stop signal. Lineage: Bacteria; Pseudomonadati; Pseudomonadota; Gammaproteobacteria; Enterobacterales; Enterobacteriaceae. The record is from RNAcentral.